UGGGGAAUUUUGGACAAUGGGGGGAAACCCUGAUCCAGCCAUCCCGCGUGUGCGAUGAAGGCCUUCGGGUUGUAAAGCACUUUUUGGCAGGAAAGAAACGUCGCGGGUUAAUACCCCGCGAAACUGACGGUACCUGCAGAAUAAGCACCGGCUAACUACGUGCCAGCAGCCGCGGUAAUACGUAGGGUGCAAGCGUUAAUCGGAAUUACUGGGCGUAAAGCGUGCGCAGGCGGUUCGGAAAGAAAGAUGUGAAAUCCCAGAGCUUAACUUUGGAACUGCAUUUUUAACUACCGGGCUAGAGUGUGUCAGAGGAGGUGGAAUUCCGCGUGUAGCAGUGAAAUGCGUAGAUAUGCGGAGGAACACCGAUGGCGAAGGCAGCCUCCUGGGAUAACACUGACGC
RNAcentral lists this ribosomal RNA (400 nucleotides) under uncultured bacterium. RNAcentral describes it as "partial 16S ribosomal RNA". It matches the Rfam family "Bacterial small subunit ribosomal RNA", at positions 355 to 746 of the family's 1533-position model. The record is from RNAcentral.